Siniperca chuatsi (mandarin fish) is the source of this 649-nucleotide long non-coding RNA. RefSeq lists it as uncharacterized. The record is from RefSeq and is a predicted model, not a curated record. The transcript has 3 exons. Lineage: Eukaryota; Metazoa; Chordata; Actinopteri; Centrarchiformes; Sinipercidae.
UAAUGGGGAGGCCAGAGAGGAGGACAAGACAGUGUAAUUCCUCUCCAGCGCCACCAGGAGAAUACUUAACGUUCCCCGGUGUCACUGUGCCCAGCUCGGAGCAGGAAAUACCACUGUUCGCUGCUGAUCACGUGACUGCCAGGGAUGAGAUAGAAUGGUAAUAGCAUUAUCAUGCUAUUCUACAACCACUAUCUCCCUCUGCCCUUGUGGGUUUAAGUGGCCCUUUGUUGCUGUAGCUCAUAUGUUGGAUGGGUGUGUGAGAGCAGCAGAGAUGGUCCACGUGCCUGACCCCUGAACUGUGGCCAUGAGUCCUCCCUCCAUGUGUAAUUCCCCGGGCUGUGAUGGACAGAAUGUGCAGAAGAAGAGAGCUGGCCCACAUGUCCUUCACUCUCGACAAGGAAAAGGUGAAUCUUUGUAUAAUACACGGACAUACUGAGGACAUCCAGUGGAGGCACAUUGAAGGUUUGACAGCAAUCUUGAUGGUCCGCUGUAAUGUGAAUCCUCUAUAAGAUCUAUUCUUUUAGUAGCUUGUAACUGUAAUUAUGUUCUGAGGUAACAAUAUGUUUUAUGGAGGAAUAAGUCAUCCUAUUUUAUAGUGUGUGUUAGUUGUCCUUAAUGUAAUCUCUCUGCGCUCUCAUUACAAUAAAAA